This 774-nucleotide ribosomal RNA is filed under the name uncultured Neocallimastigales. Its description in RNAcentral is "partial large subunit ribosomal RNA". It matches the Rfam family "Eukaryotic large subunit ribosomal RNA", at positions 24 to 649 of the family's 3401-position model. The record is from RNAcentral. Lineage: Eukaryota; Fungi; Neocallimastigomycota; Neocallimastigomycetes; Neocallimastigales.
UAUGUGAUCGUCUCUCGCAUAUCAAUAAGCGGAGGAAAAGAAACUAACAAGGAUUCCCCUAGUAACGGCGAGUGAAGCGGGAAGAGCUCAAAUUUGAAAUCUUAAAGGGUUUCCCUUUACGAAUUGUAGUUUAAAGAAGUGUUUUCUGUUGAGGUUUUGGUAAAAGUUCUUUGGAAUAGGACAUCAUAGAGGGUGAAAAUCCCGUAUUUGACCUUUACUUUCAACUUUGUGAUACACUUUCAAAGAGUCGGAUUGUUUGGGAAUGCAGUCCAAAAUGGGUGGUAAAUUUCAUCUAAAGCUAAAUAUUGGCGAGAGACCGAUAGCGAACAAGUACCGUGAGGGAAAGAUGAAAAGAACUUUGAAAAGAGAGUUAAACAGUACGUGAAAUUGUCAAAAGGGAAGCGUUUGACACCAGUGUUGUUUUUCUGAAAAUCAAUUAAAGAACUGUUUAUGCUAAGUUGUUUAGACUUUAUCAGCUAUCUGCUUAGUUUUGAGCUUUUCUUUAAUGCACUUUUCAGUUAACAAGUCAACAUCAAUUUCUUUUGCUGUAAAAAAGCUUGAGGAAGGUGGCUUGAGAUUCGUCUUAAGUGUUUAUAGCCUCUUGCCUAUGCAGUCGGAGAGAUUGAGGUCUGCAGCGUAGAUCCUUCGGGGCUAAAUGCAUUUGUGCUAAGUUAUAGCAUUUUAUAGACAACUUGUUGACUAUGAUUUGUCUUGUAGCUUACUCGCUUAUGUUAUUUUACCUACGCUUAGGAUGUUGAGUAGCGACAUACGCAC